Humulus lupulus (European hop) is the source of this 2799-nucleotide RNA transcript. It is a transcript of the gene named protein EXECUTER 1, chloroplastic, with no coding region annotated. The record is from RefSeq and is a predicted model, not a curated record. The transcript has 12 exons. NCBI's taxonomy places the organism in Eukaryota, Viridiplantae, Streptophyta, Magnoliopsida, Rosales, Cannabaceae.
AUUGGACACAACUGUUUCGAUCAAAACGCACAGCUUUGCUCUCAUUCACUCUGGACUGACUGUGUGUAUUGUAUAAUCCUUAUCUCUCUCUCGUUCUCACUCUUUUUCUCUCUCCCUCUCUUACCAGACUCAUCACACCACACAACUCUCCAACUAUCCAACACCUCAAAUCUUCUCUCUCUCAAGCUCCGAAACCACAAUCCAUGGCUUCCAUCGCUGCUCCCACUCCUCAUAACCUCAUCUUCCCCAACCCCAUUUUCUCUUCACCUAUCAGAAAGCCUUUCUCUAACUACUCUUCUCCGUUAUCGUCUCAUUCCCAUUCCCACUCUCACUUUCUCUCUAGGGUUCCUGAUUCCGCCUUCUGCCGAUGCCAUAGCUCCUCCUCAUCCUCCUCUUCUUCUUCUCCCUCUCCUUCCGACUCGCACUGGAGAUGGGACUCGGCUCUCGCCGAUGUCAUCAGAACCGCCCUCAAACAAUUCGAUUCCUACUUCAAUCCGUACCGCUUAGCUGCUGAUGGUUCUUCCGGCGUUUCCGACUCUGAUGAUUCACCGAACCCGUCCCGAGACCUGGAUUGGGAUUGGGAUCGGUGGCGCCAGCAUUUUGGCGAGGUCGACGAGCAAGAGCGCUUGGUCUCCGUCUUGAAGUCUCAGCUGGGUCAAGCAGUACAUAUGGAAGAUUUUGAAGGUGCUGCGAGGCUCAAGGUGGCAAUUGCAGCAGCAGCUACAAACGACGUUGUUGGCAGAGUGAUGUAUAAGCUGAAUAGAGCUAUAGAGGAGGAAAAGUACGUGGAUGCAGCCUUUGUAAGAGAUAAUGCUGGUGCUGGAUUGGUUGGAUGGUGGGCUGGCAUGUCGAAAGACAUCAAUGAUCCUCAUGGUCUAAUCAUUCGAAUAACUGCAGAGCAUGGGAGAUAUGUGGCAAGAAGUUAUAGUCCUCGGCAACUGGCUACCACCGCAGCUGGUAAUCCCCUGUUCGAAAUUUUUUUAACAGUGAAUAGGAAGGGUGAAUACAGACAGCAGGCUGUGUAUCUAAAGCGUGGAGGUGCUUUUAAAGAUAUUUCGCUUUCCUCGAAAGUAUCAGAUUCGAUUAGUAACAUAGAUCCAUUAGAUUCACCUGAUGACAAGAGUGAUCUGCUUGUUGCUGUUAAUGAAGAUGUCGAAGAUGAAGAUGACAAUGAUAGGGAUGAUCUUUCUGAUUCAGCCCAAGGAUUUUCUGGUUUUCAGGAUAUUUUGAAAGAUAUGAUUCCUGGUGUCAAGGUGAAGGUUUUGAAAGUCACAGCGCCUGGGAAGGUUGAUAAGGAUCUAAUCUCUAAAGUUAUUGAGCAGAUAAUAGAGGAAGAUGAUGAAGAAAAGGAUGAUGAUAUGGAAAGUUUAGAAGCAGAGGAUGACUUUCAGAGUGAGAGUGAUCAAGAGAGAGAUGUGAUUGAAUUGGAGGCAAGUCCUGGAAUUACUGAAAGUGAAGAGCGGAGUGAAAUUGCAUUUAAGGUUGUCGUUGGUGGUCUUAUGCAAAAGAUGUCAAGUGGCACAUCUACAAGAGACACACUUCGGGUUCCUGCUAAGCUAGAGAAAAAUGGAAGGUCAUCAUUUUCUUUCUCUAUAGAGAAAGGCACUAACAAUCAGGAUUCGUAUGAGAAGGAACAGGCUUUGCUGCAGAAAAAAUCUAAACUUAAAGGUAGACGCAGCAUUGAUCAUGUUAUGUUUGAUCUCACUAAGUUUAUUGGUAAAGAGAAAAUACCACUGAAGGUGCUCAAGGAUGUUGGUGAGCUGAUAAGUCUCACUCUGAGUCAGGCUCAAAACCGUCAGCCACUGUCUGAAUCGACAACUUUCAACCGCAUUGAGUUACCAAAUUCUUCAGAUCCUCUAAAUGGACUGUACAUUGGUGCACAUGGGCUCUACACCUCCGAAGUUAUUCACCUGCAACGAAAAUUUGGUCAAUGGAAAGAUGAUAGUGGGAAAUCAGAUCCUUCAAAUCUUGAGUUUUAUGAAUAUGUAGAAGCUUUAAAAAUAACUGGGGAUCCUUAUGUACCAGCGGGUCAGGUUGCUUUCCGUGCAAAAAUUGGUAAAAGAUACCAACUUCCUCAUAAGGGGAUUAUUCCAGAAGAAUUUGGAGUGAUUGCUCGAUACAAAGGACAAGGAAGACUUGCUGCACCAGGAUUUCGCAAUCCUCGAUGGGUUGAUGGUGAACUUGUUAUUCUCGAUGGAAAGUACAUAAAAGGUGGGCCAGUUGUAGGAUUCGUGUAUUGGGCCCCUGAGUAUCAUUUCUUGGUGUUCUUUAAUCGGCUGAGGCUUCAAGAGUAAAUUUCUCAUUGUACAUAACAGUAAAGUCAUUGUUUUGGUUCGGUAAAGUAGGUACAUAAGACGUUUACUUCCAGAACACAAUUUCCCCAAGUUAAAGGAGUGGAGAAAUCUGGAAAUCUAGGGCUAUAUAUUUAAUUUAUGCUUGCCCAGCUGACUGGUGCACUUGGCUGACUCAACAGAGAGAGUAGUAACCACAGAAGCUUUGGAAUGUACAAAUCAUACUUGGCCUUUAAAGUUUACAUUGCUCUUUGGUUUGGGAAAAUACUUUUUUUAUCACACACUUGUAUGUUUUGGCACCACUUUUUUGUUUUUUAUGCCAUUGAAAUUAAAAAUUUACUUCAGUAGCCUAUUCUCAUAGGUUCUUACUUAGCUCUUCCAUUGUUCCAAUUGAUAAGAUCGGGAUUAGUGAAUUAGCUAAGAACUGGAUAGUUAUCUCUGUAAAUAGCCUUUCUAUAAUAUGGGUUUUAUACUUAAUAAAUAAUGUGGCCUAUGCAUCUUUUAGUUA